This 617-nucleotide ribosomal RNA is filed under the name Pempheris vanicolensis (Vanikoro sweeper). RNAcentral describes it as "partial 16S ribosomal RNA". It matches the Rfam family "Bacterial large subunit ribosomal RNA", at positions 1797 to 2620 of the family's 2925-position model. Lineage: Eukaryota; Metazoa; Chordata; Actinopteri; Acropomatiformes; Pempheridae. The record is from RNAcentral.
CGCCUGUUUAACAAAAACAUCGCCUCUUGCAAAAAUAACGAAUAAGAGGUCCUGCCUGCCCUGUGACUAUAUGUUCAACGGCCGCGGUAUUUUGACCGUGCGAAGGUAGCGUAAUCACUUGUCUCUUAAAUGGGGACCUGUAUGAAUGGCAAGACGAGGGCUUAACUGUCUCCUUUUUUCGGUCAAUGAAAUUGAUCUCCCCGUGCAGAAGCGGGGAUGACCUCAUAAGACGAGAAGACCCUGUGGAGCUUUAGACACCAAGGCAGACCAUGUCCCUCCCCCACCGAUAAGUGACAAAACUUAGUGGCUCCUGUCCUAAUGUCUUCGGUUGGGGCGACCACGGAGAAAUAAAAAACCUCCACGCGGAAUAGGAGCACUGCUCCUACAACCAAGAGCUUCCACUCUAAUGUAUCAGAAAUUCUGACCAUAUGAUCCGGCAACGCCGAUUAACGAACCAAGUUACCCCAGGGAUAACAGCGCAAUCCUCUCUUAGAGACCCUAUCGACGAGUGGGUUUACGACCUCGAUGUUGGAUCAGGACAUCCUAAUGGCGCAGCCGCUAUUAAGGGUUCGUUUGUUCAACGAUUAAAGUCCUACGUGAUCUGAGUUCAAAACCGG